UCUAAAUUAGUAUAAGUUUAUUAUGUCUGUUUUUCGUAUGGGCGAUAAAGUAAUUUUAUUUAGAU
Molecule: transfer RNA, 65 nt
Filed under: Diplorchis sp.
Lineage: Eukaryota; Metazoa; Platyhelminthes; Monogenea; Polystomatidea; Polystomatidae
Description: tRNA-Glu
Source: RNAcentral